Molecule: ribosomal RNA, 440 nt
Filed under: uncultured bacterium
Lineage: Bacteria
Description: partial 16S ribosomal RNA
Rfam family: Bacterial small subunit ribosomal RNA
Source: RNAcentral
CCUACGGGGAGCAGCAGUGGGGAAUAUUGCACAAUGGGGGAAACCCUGAUGCAGCGACGCCGCGUGAGUGAAGAAGUAUCUCGGUACGUAAAGCUCUAUCAGCAGGGAAGAAAAUGACGGUAUCUGACUAAGAAGCCCCGGCUAACUACGUGCCAGCAGCCGCGGUAAUACGUAGGGGGCAAGCGUUAUCCGGAUUUACUGGGUGUAAAGGGAGCGUAGACGGGAGCACAAGUCUGGAGUGAAAUCCCAGGGCUUAACCCUGGAACUGCUUUGGAAACUGUGCGGCUGGAGUGCAGGAGGGGUAAGCGGAAGUCCGAGUGUAGGGGUGAAAUGCGUAGAUAGUAGGAGGAACACCGGUGGCGAAGGCGGCUUACUGGACUGUAACUGACGUUGAGGCUCGAAAGCGUGGGGAGCAAACAGGAUUAGAUACCCUUGUAGUC